GACGACCUUUGGCGGCGUGCCUAAUACAUGCAAGUAGAACGCUGAAGAGAGGAGCUUGCUCUUCUUGGAUGAGUUGCGAACGGGUGAGCAACGCGUAGGUAACCUGCCUUGUAGCGGGGGAUAACUAUUGGAAACGAUAGCUAAUACCGCAUAACAAUGGAUGACACAUGUCAUUUAUUUGAAAGGGGCAAUUGCUCCACUACAAGAUGGACCUGCGUUGUAUUAGCUAGUAGGUGAGGUAAUGGCUCACCUAGGCGACGAUACAUAGCCGACCUGAGAGGGUGAUCGGCCACACUGGGACUGAGACACGGCCCAGACUCCUACGGGAGGCAGCAGUAGGGAAUCUUCGGCAAUGGGGGGAACCCUGACCGAGCAACGCCGCGUGAGUGAAGAAGGUUUUCGGAUCGUAAAGCUCUGUUGUAAGUCAAGAACGGGUGUGAGAGUGGAAAGUUCACACUGUGACGGUAGCUUACCAGAAAGGGACGGCUAACUACGUGCCAGCAGCCGCGGUAAUACGUAGGUCCCGAGCGUUGUCCGGAUUUAUUGGGCGUAAAGCGAGCGCAGGCGGUUUGAUAAGUCUGAAGUUAAAGGCUGUGGCUCAACCAUAGUUCGCUUUGGAAACUGUCAAACUUGAGUGCAGAAGGGGAGAGUGGAAUUCCAUGUGUAGCGGUGAAAUGCGUAGAUAUAUGGAGGAACACCGGUGGCGAAAGCGGCUCUCCGGUCUGUAACUGACGCUGAGGCUCGAAAGCGUGGGGAGCGAACAAGAUUAGAUACCCUGGUAGUCCACGCCGUAAACGA
RNAcentral lists this ribosomal RNA (798 nucleotides) under uncultured bacterium. Its description in RNAcentral is "bacterial SSU rRNA". It matches the Rfam family "Bacterial small subunit ribosomal RNA", at positions 28 to 809 of the family's 1533-position model. The record is from RNAcentral.